GUCAAUUGAUUUAUAUUAAACACUCGAUGGAUUACAACAAGAGCCAGCAGAACACACUGAUAUCCCCGGAAUCAACAACCCACAUAAGGGACACUUAAAGCCAUGCGAAUGCACCAAAGACUACACUAAAACAUAACUUAAGACAAAAGCAAAUUCCUACAACUAGAUCUCCAUACAAUCCUUUAACAAAACCAUAGAUAGUAUAGUCAAGACCUAAAAUAACCAGAGGUCUAGCAAGAGACCACAAUCAACCAAGCGGACAAGCAGGGAAGACUUAACAGAACCGAAAAUCACCUGAACCUUCUGUCCACGAUGAAAAGCUAGAACCACGCCGAAUAGCACCACACACACCGACCCCGAAACAUGGGUCCAAGAACCGAAACACCUGGGACCAACCCUCCUACAAAAUCGCAACUUCCUCCGAUUGAACCAAAACCUCAACCUCAUUAUACUGCUUCAAACGAUCUCGCGCUAUACGUAGUUUAUUUAUGGACAUUAGCGAAAUGUUUGGUUUAUCAUGUCACGAUAAAACAACGCGUCGUUCUAUCCUGUGAGUUCAAAACUUGUUGUUGGAUGGGAGCGUAUUAAUCAUAGGGUAGUUGGGUCACGUAAAAUAUCUGUAGCUUUGCAUGUAGUGGCGAAUCGUAACGCUUUGUGUCUUGGGGUUAUCACGUAUUACGUUUCGACUUUAACAAAAUUUACUACUAUAACUAUAGAUUUUUUUUGAAAAAGCAAUAUAAAUAUAGAUUACGUACUAUAACUAGAGAUAUAAAUAUAAACAUGCGACAGAGCAUCUUUUGGAAAGUGUUGGUCGUCCCAUUAGUCGAACUAAGUUUCGGCAAUCUCGAGACGAUCUGAUUACUGAUUUCACCUUUUUAUUUCUAAAUUAAUUUUCAAAUAUUCCUUCUAUAUUUGAAAAAUGAUGUUUAAAAUUGUUCAUACAUUUGAUCAAAAAAAAAUUGUUCAUACAUAUUUUUAAAAUUAAUAUUCACUUUUACCUAUUACUUUCUUGUUUUAUUUUUAAUUAGUUUAGAGUUUUAUUUGCUUUCCAAUAAAAUUUAAUCAUUCAAAUAUUUAGAUUUAAAUUUAUCUUUUGAUUUUAAAGUAAAAUACAUUUAUUAAAAUUAGAUUAUCAAUUUUUUAUAUAUUCAAAAAAGUAGAACAUCAAUUUUUUUGUAUACGUAAUGAGUAUUUAAAAAAAAAUAUUAAGAAUAUGUGGAAUUGCGUCGGAAUAACGAUAUUCCGACGAAAUUCCGACGAUUUUUUCCCUCAGAAUCCUUGAUGUUUUCUUGUAGUGGAUACUCAAACAUGAAGAUUGCAUUAAGAAGUUUCAGAAGAAAGUUUUUUCAAUUUUUAUCCUAUUAUAUUUUAUUUUAAAUUUGCAUUUGGUUGUAUUUUUAUUAUUUUAUGUGCAAUGCUACAUCUUAUAUGAAUAAAAUAAUUGUUAAAAAAAAUCUUGCUCCCACUAACGCUCCUAAUUCUUGAUAAUUGAUUAACUUGUCAUUGUGAUAUUUGAAAUUUUUAAUAUAUUUAGCUGACAAUAAUUCUACUAAAUUCAAUUUCCAUAUUAAACAAACCCCGCAGUAUAUAAUUUACGAGAAGCCGUGCGUUUUUUCUUCGUCAAUUGAUUUAUAUUAAACACUCGAUGGAUUACAACAAGAGCCAGCAGAACACACUGAUAUCCCCGGAAUCAACAACCCACAUAAGGGACACUUAAAGCCAUGCGAAUGCACCAAAGACUACACUAAAACAUAACUUAAGACAAAAGCAAAUUCCUACAACUAGAUCUCCAUACAAUCCUUUAACAAAACCAUAGAUAGUAUAGUCAAGACCUAAAAUAACCAGAGGUCUAGCAAGAGACCACAAUCAACCAAGCGGACAAGCAGGGAAGACUUAACAGAACCGAAAAUCACCUGAACCUUCUGUCCACGAUGAAAAGCUAGAACCACGCCGAAUAGCACCACACACACCGACCCCGAAACAUGGGUCCAAGAACCGAAACACCUGGGACCAACCCUCCUACAAAAUCGCAACUUCCUCCGAUUGAACCAAAACCUCAACCUCAUUAUACUGCUUCAAACGAUCUCGCGCUAUACGUAGUUUAUUUAUGGACAUUAGCGAAAUGUUUGGUUUAUCAUGUCACGAUAAAACAACGCGUCG
RNAcentral lists this long non-coding RNA (2160 nucleotides) under Brassica napus (rape). RNAcentral describes it as "long non-coding RNA (BNAP_LNC020727)". Lineage: Eukaryota; Viridiplantae; Streptophyta; Magnoliopsida; Brassicales; Brassicaceae. The record is from RNAcentral.